This 504-nucleotide ribosomal RNA is filed under the name uncultured bacterium. RNAcentral's name for it is "partial 16S ribosomal RNA". It matches the Rfam family "Bacterial small subunit ribosomal RNA", at positions 30 to 523 of the family's 1533-position model. The record is from RNAcentral.
AUUGAACGCUGGCGACAUGCCUUACACAUGCAAGUCGAACGGCAGCAUGGAGAGCUUGCUCUCUGAUGGCGAGUGGCGAACGGGUGAGUAAAGCAUCGGAACGUACCGUGUAGUGGGGGAUAACGUAGCGAAAGUUACGCUAAUACCGCAUACGCACUGAGGUGGAAAGCAGGGGAUCGCAAGACCUUGUGCUAUACGAGCGGCCGAUGUCAGAUUAGCUAGUUGGUAGGGUAAAGGCCUACCAAGGCGACGAUCUGUAGCGGGUCUGAGAGGAUGAUCCGCCACACUGGGACUGAGACACGGCCCAGACUCCUACGGGAGGCAGCAGUGGGGAAUUUUGGACAACGGGGGCAACCCUGAUCCAGCCAUGCCGCGUGAGUGAAGAAGGCCUUCGGGUUGUAAAGCUCUUUCGGCCGGGAAGAAAUCGCACAGGCUAAUACUCUGUGUGGAUGACGGUACCGGCAUAAGAAGCACCGGCUAACUACGUGCCAGCCGCCGCAGUAA